UCACUAUUUUUUCUCCGUCUUUCCCAGCAGAAAUCGGAUUUCCCGGUCUGUCCUCUUUGCUGAUCAUGACAACAUUCCAUUGAGUCCCUGUGCUCUAGGCUUUCAUCAUCGACACCCAGGAACAAAGAGAAGGAGAGCCAACGUCAGGCUAUCUCUGAGAUUUCUCCCCCUGCCAAAAGACAGAGGCAAAAUUCACCAACGCAAAUGAACGACUUUGGGAAGUCUUCCUAGCUCGGUUCAGAUGCAACUUUGCUGAAGUGUUUCUAAAGGGGGGAAGAGGGGGAACAGUAUGUCACUCGUGAAAACUGUUUAGGACAGCUGUUGGAAGAGGAAGCAGGUGGUGAAAUCACCCUGAGGGUCUAAGAAAUAUUAAUAUUUAAACCUCUCCCAUUUCACUAAAGUUCAAUAGAGCUUUCUACUGCCUGAAGGAAGAGGGAGCCAGGGAAAUCACAAGCCAUGAAGUGGGAAAGACCUUCUAAUUUGGUUAGAGAGGGGUUUGUUUGUCUGAGUCCCCUUCUCGACAGCCCUCAUUUGCUCUUUGCUCACAAAGGGUCUGUGUUAGCAUUUCAAAGCUGACUCCUUCUUCCUAUUGCAUCUCAGAGACAUAACAUGUCAUCAGAUCACAGGGAUUUGCCAGGUCUGUGAUUUGUUUGUCUAGACUUUGGUCAUUGAACUAUGUUUAUUACAAAACAUCAUGUGAAACAGGCAAGAAAUCAAAGCGGUUUCUGGGGCUUCUUCCCUUGCCUUGGCCGCUGAUGGCUCUACAAAUGGGUUGCCCUACAGAGAUUGCGAAGCUAACUUUCAUCUUUCGAGUUCCUGCACAUUCUUUGAAAGUCUACCUUUCCCAUGACCCAGGCUCUGAACACUGGACUAAUCCUCUCCUUGCCUUUGACCCAGGGCAUGAUCUCUAGUCUGUCAUAAACCUCAAAAUCUCGUGCUCUCGGCUUCUUCAAGUGGACAGAAUAAUAGCUAUGUACUGAGCAGAUAUCAAAAGCAAUCAGGAGUGAUUGAUAAUUGGCACCAUAAGGCACCAUGAAAGCUUUCAACAUCAAAGCAAAAACCGCCUAUCACGCAACUAUACUAUCUUCCAAGGGCACUUAAAUACCAACCAUUCCUUCCACCUGAGAGUGCAACUUUGAAAAGAGCCCUCCCUGUUUCGUUUUUGAAAACUGCAUUAGAACAGAUCAAGGAAAAAAAAUCAAGGGAACCAAGAAGGUCAGUUGGUAGAGUGAAGGGAGAGAGUAUUCCAGGGAUUGAGGACAGCCACAGAAAAUGCUCAGAGUUGAGUGAUAAAGCAUCUUGUUUGUGGAACAGCCAAGAGAGCCAGUGGCACUAGAUGGAAGAAUAUGUACUGGGAACAAGGUGUAAGAAGACUGAAAGAUGCUACGGAGAGUGGCCAGAAGGAAUAAUGACUCUAUUAUCUGUACACAAGAACUACAUUUACCCAGAUAUACCAGGAAGACUCCUCCAGGGUAAGAUCUUGGAGCCUUCAUCUUCUUUUAUACCUUCCCACCACCAGCCCCAGGAGGCCUCGCUGUGGGACAACCGUAGGUACCAAAUACCUUUCUCUUGAACCGAAUUCACGUGAGCUUUAGAAUAUCCACAUCAGAACAAGAGCAAAUAUUCAUGGCCAUCUCAGUCCCCCUGUAACCUUAUUUCCUUUGAAGCCGGUAGGGGACAGACAUCAGAUGGAAGCAGAAAGAAGGGUUCUUUCAUUUUUGUUCUUUGACCUCGAUCUCUUUAUCUUCAGGGGAAAUGGAUGGAUUAAAUCCUCCCAGAAAGUACUAGAUGAUAAUUUAACUCUGUAGGCUCACUGAGGCAGGGACAUUGUACCCUGGAGUCCAUGAAUCUCAUUUCUAAAAAUUUGUUUUUUUAACAGUAUUUCAACAUAAUUUUUUUCCCUUUGUAAUUGUAUGUAUUUUAUUUUGUGCAUUUAAAGACAUUAUUUUGAGAAUGUUGGUUAAUAGGCUUCACCAGACUGAUUUCCAAAGGGGAUCGUGACACAUAAAAAUGGUUAAGAAGCCUUAAACAAUGGGAACUGACUCUCUGGUACUUCUUUAAACACAAAGGGCCAUAAUCAUUUUUUUAUUUUCAGAAAAUGUCCUCCCACUAUUACCAAGAGUCAUUUAAAAACACAUUUAUAAGACUAUCUUCCUCCAAGCUACCAAAAGGGAAAAAAAAAUCUCCAAUAACAGAAUGCCCUAAGAAAUAAAUUGCCUGCUUUUAGCCUGACGUGGUAACUGGCCUACUGAAGUCAUUGAAGUUGCACAUCUGGCUGCCCAUGUUCUCUUUGAAACAGAGAAAGCCAGUUUUUGAUUCAGAGAAUAGAAUCCUAUUCCUUUUCAGCCUAAUAAAGGACAUGGACAUGCUGUUCUCGAACAACCAGGAAAAAGGAAAAGAGGCUCUGAGCCUACUCAGGGUUUCAGAGGUUCAGGUCAAUUUUUUUAAAAACCUUACCUUCUGCCUUAGAAUCAAGUCUGUGUAUUUGUUCUAAGGCAGAGUGGUAAGGGCUAGGCAAUGGGGGUAAAGUGACUUGCCCAGGGUCACACAGUUAGGAAAUGUCUGACGUCAGAAUUGAAUCCAGGACCUCCUGUCUCUAGGCCUGUCAAACCCAUUUUUAAAAGGCACCCUGAUCAAGAAGUAGUUGGCCAAAUUGGGAAGAAAUUUUCAUAACAAAAAACUCUGACAAAGGUCUAAUUGCUCAAAUUUAUAAAAACCUAAACCAAUUGUACAAAAAAUCAAGCCAUUCCUCAAUUGAUAAAUGGGCAAGGGACAUGAACAGGCAAUUUUCAGUUAAAGAAAUGUGAUCUUGAGCAAGUCACUUAAUUCCCAUUGCCUAGCUCUUACUACUCUUCUGUCUUGGAACUAAUACUUAAUGUUAAUUCUAAGAUAGGAGGUAAAGGGAUUUUUUUUUAAAAGAAAAAGAAAUAAAGAUGUAAUUUUUAUCCCACACCAAGUUUAUGGGCCAUGGAUUCCAAAUUAAAAACCUCUGCUCUAAAUGAAUCAAAUAAAAAGAAGCAGCACAGGUCUACAGAAUCUAGAUUUAAGAGAAUUCUGUAUUGAAACCAAGUGAAUGAUUGCUUUCUAAUUUAUCUUUUUUGAAGGGAGAAGAGGAGUAAUAAUAUAAAUUUUCCAAAGUCCCAUAACUAAGGUAAAUCUAGAUCAAUCUGUUGUCCUUUGCCUUCACAUACCAGCGAGAAAAUAAAUAUGAUGGCACAAAGACAGAGAGAUCUGACACCAAAAAUUCAUCUGGACUUUAUCAUUCAAAGAAAGAUCACUCAGAGAACAGCAAUGCUACUCAAAGAUAUCCUGAAAGAACAAGCUGUUGCUUUUUUUUUCUAUCCCUUAGUGAAAGUAGCAAUAAAAGUAUUGAAGGGAUAAGAUGAAGGGCAGGCAGGAAGGAAGUAUUGCCGGUUUUUUAUUUCUUAUUCACCAUCUGCAGCCCAAAAAGAAAGAGCUUCUGCCCACCUGUGCCUGUACCAACCUCCUUAGAUAAAUAGAUCAGUCUUCCAAUAGAUUACUCAUGACAUCUGUUUUCCCCUCCUUUCAGAAGCCCCCUGAAAAAUCUAUCUGGAUGAAUGUGUCAGUGACCCCUUCCCUGCAUCAGUCCCCUCAGGUCACUGGGGCUAUUGGUGACUGGGACUGACUGAUGGGCUCCUUGUUUCCAGAGCAGACACCUCCUGCUCAGUAUGCCCCAGGAUCCUGCUUUGGGGGGCACAGUGCCCUACGGACUAUAUCCAUUCUGUAGAUGCAAUAGGCUCCCCUCCCAUGUAUUGUUGCCUUCAUUGGUCUCCACUGUGGUAGAAGCUGUGGAAUAAACAUCUGCAGAUGUCUAGAAGCAAAGUAUAGUUCUCAGUUCCCAAAGAAAGUCAAUCCCUUCUUUAAGCUUUAAAGAGAAAUCUAUGCAAAACAAUAGAGGAGGAAUGCACAUCAACUAGUCCCACUCCAGCAAUAAGAUCAUAGAAUCUGAGAUUUAAAGCUGGAAUAAACCUUGGAGGCUAACCCCUUCCUUUUACAGAAAAGACAACUUAGGCUCAGAGAGAUUAAGUGACUAAUCCAGAGUCAUGCCAAUAGUUAAUAUCAGAGAUAGGAUUUGAACUUCUUGGUUCUAAGUCUAGUACUCUAUCAAUUAUGCCAUGCUGCUUCAUAGAGCAUUGGUUGGAUGGUGGUGGUUGUCCAUCAUACCCAAAGAGGACCAAAAUGACAUCACCUGUAAUAUCUUGACUUGCACAUGAAUUGGAUUUAAGUGAGGUGGAGUUGCACAAAGUCAUCAGCCUCACUCCCUCUUCCAGAGUCAUCAAAGUCCAAAGGCAAAACAAAAGUCAAGACAGCUAGUGAUGGCCUGGGAUGCAAUGGAUGGCCGUGGCCUUUUCAAUGUCUAAGUAAGCUCUAAGAGCUCCAUAGAGCCUGCUUCCUCCACCUUCAUGGCCAUUGAAAUAAUUGUUCAGAUCUACCCUUUCCCUGGAAGAAGCCUUCAAAUGCUUGAGUAGACACCCCUCUAACUCACCAAUAGGUCCGAGAAUUGAUAAACUAUUAGAGGUGAAAGAAAUUAAAGCUCAACUAAUCCAACCAAGAGUAGUCAUGUUGACCUAUUUCGUGAACUAGAAUCCUGCUAUUAUAAUUUUAAAAGCUUUACUAAUAUUAUUUCAUUUGAUCUUCACAAUCCUGUGAGGUAGAUGCUAUUAUUAUAAAUAUUCCCACUUUGUAUCUACUGCCCUGCCUGGUUCAAUUCCACAAAACAAGAUGCUUCCUCCCUACGCACCCCAACUGUCUCAUUCCCCGCUACUUUCCUGUCUCCUGUGUACUGUCUCCCCCAUUAGAUUAGUUCUUGAAGGCAGGACUACCUUUUUAUUAACUGUAUCCCCAGUGCUUAGCACAGUGAUGGGCACAUGGUAGGUGCUUAAUAAAUGGUUAUUGAAUUGGAUUGGAUUCUGAAAGCACUGACAAUGAUGCCUCAGCUGCAGUGCUACCCUGGACCAUCCAUCUGCCCUCCCAGUUUUCUUCUCCCAUUGGUAAAUAUUUCCUGGAGCUUCCAUUUUGGGGCAAGCCCCAGAUUGGCCAGCCUUUAUUCCCCUCAUCCUGGGCUGCUGACUUUUGGGACUUCAAAAUUAGGCUUCCAGGUUUAUCUAUAUUUGCCCUUUCUUCCUCCUACCUUUUCAGUUCCCUUUUGUGCAUUAUCUUGUCCCAUUAGAAUGUAAGAUCCUCAAGGACAAGAAUUGUUUUUCUUUUUGCUUGUACUGUAUUUGUACUCUGGCAUAUAAUAAGCUCUUAGUAAGUCUUUUGCCUUGACUGACCAUGUUAAAUGUAUUUCUAAUUUGGGAAGGAAGGCAAUUUGGGGGGAGGGGGAUAGGUUUUGGUUUUUGAGAUUUUUUUUUUAAGAAGAAGGGUUUUUACAUGGUGGACGUGUCAUUCAAAGCUAACCUCAGCUAAGAACAUAAUCUCUAAAAUCAUUACCUUAUAUUUUCUAGAAGUUUUUUAGAAUUCCCUGAUGUCUCUUUUUUCGUACUCAAAUAAAACUUUACAAUGAAUGAAAUUCAAAGAUUUACAGUGGUCUUCAGUGCCAAAAAAAUUGAAGUAGUCCUUGACCUUUCUCUGGUAGCCCAAAGACAAACUGGGCUGGGGGGUUUCACAUGAAAUUUUCAAGAAGCCUUUCCCUUAGCAGUGCUGAGAGUCCUCCAAGAGUAGCCCAUCUCCUAGCGCUGUGCCAUUUCCCCUUCCAAGGCCUGGCAGGAACCCAGCAGUGUAAAUAAAGGAUGCGUAUAUUUUUAAAGGAAAGCCUUCUUUUGAGUGUGCGACCAGAAGAAAAUGUGGAGUUCAGGUCUGCAGAAAGGCCCUGGGGACUCCUGUUCUAGUCAAGCUGGGUGGAUCCUGUCUGCCUCUCAACCAUCACAUCCAAACACAAAUACCGCAAUAGCAGGCAGCUAGAGCUGGCAGGUUCCUUCCUCUUGUUGAGUGGUAAAAGCUGGGACCUAUGCAGUUGUAUCUUCUACAAAAAUCAUUUCUUUUGAAGAAGAAGAUCUAAUAUUGAGAGAGUGUAAGGCUCUAGAUAGGAGGAGGAGGGAGGGGAGAAGAACAUCUUGAGACAAGGGGAUUAUGAAAUAUUCUCAGGCCAUCUAGGAAUAUAUACUUUGUGUUAGACAGCAUCAUACUCAUUGUCACAAUUACUUGUGUGUGUGUGUGUGUGUCUCAAAUCUAUGUAGCUCACUCCCCAAAAUACACAUCCCAACCUUACUCUGAGACAUUAAGCAAACCUGGGAAAUUCUCAGGGCUGGUUUUCUAAAACAGGCUCUUCUUUAUUGUGUAGAGAUAUUUUGCUGAAGGUGUUAUUUCUUAACUCUAACAGGUUCCCAUUCCUUUGGGUAUCUAAGCCAAAAAGAUAAAGCUUUCAGUAAAAUACAAAGGCAAGGAUUUGCUCAUGUGUUCCCUUUGGGAGGGAGCCACAGGGAAGGUGGAAAAGAGAAUCCCAAGAAGAAUGAUAAUGCAAGAGCUCCAAGGAGUGGAAUGUGAGUCUUCCAUUCAUACCAAAAUUAGUUCAUCUUUUCAAAGAAAAUUCAGAGUAAUAAAAUAUAACUUGAUGAGAAGCCUGCCAAUGUUUCUAGUAUUUCAAACAAACAAAUUUUCAACUUUCCUAAUUGUACUUACAGGAACACACACACACAUACAUAUAUAUUUGUUUAUUUAUUUAUUCAUAUUUUGGAAUUCCAAUAUGUAUACAUAUAUAGGAAAGCUACCUGGAAGAGUGCAAAAAGAACUUGGGUUCAAAUCCUACCUGCUCUCCCCUUAGUGGCUCACUGUAGGAGUAAGUGGUAUUACCUUUCUGAGCAUCACCAUCUUCAUCUGUAAAAUGAAAGUCUUGACGUCAUGAUCUCUCCAUUUCCCUCCAGCUCUCAGUCACUGACCCUAUGCAUUUUUCAUAAGGUUGAAGCGUACCUCUUUAAGUGCCUAUUUGAAACCGCACACAUACGCACACCUUUCUAAAAUUCCCAAGCCUGUUCUCUUAGAUACAUUAUACUCAAGGUGAAAUGAAAAGAUUUCUAAUGCUUGAGGUCAGGAGACUGGUGUUCCAGCCUUGUCUCUGCCACUUUUCUUAUCAUCUUAGGCAAUUCACUUAACCUAGACCUUGGUUCUUUCGUCUGUAAAAUGAAGAAAUUAGACGAGAUGGUCUCUAAAGUCUCUUUCCAUGCUGCAAUACUGUGAUUUUCAUUUUAUUUUUCCUAGAUGGUUCAGCAUCAUGACACAAGGAUACAAGCAUUUAAGUAUCUACUAUGUACCUUACACAGUGUUAAGCACUUUACAAAUAUCUUAUUUUUCCUGUGAGUCUUCCUAGCUGUGUGAUCCUGGGCAAAUCACUUAACCUCUAUUGGCUCCCCUUUGCUGCUUUUCUGUCUUAGAACUGACCCUAAGACAGAAUAUGAUGGUUUAAAAUAAAAUCUUUUAUUCCCCAAUAAACUUGAGGGGUAGGUGCUAUUAUCGUCUCCAUAUUAUUAUGUCCAUUUUACAGAUGAGAAAACUGAAGCAAAGAGAAGACAAGUGACUUGCCCAGGGCCAUAUAGCUGAAAAAUUUCUGAGACCAAAUUUAAAUCCAGGUCUUUCCAGGUUCAGUACUCUAACCAUUACACCUCCCAG
Monodelphis domestica (gray short-tailed opossum) is the source of this 7626-nucleotide long non-coding RNA. RefSeq lists it as uncharacterized. The record is from RefSeq and is a predicted model, not a curated record. Lineage: Eukaryota; Metazoa; Chordata; Mammalia; Didelphimorphia; Didelphidae.